UGGGGAAUUUUGGACAAUGGGGGAAACCCUGAUCCAGCCAUCCCGCGUGUGCGAUGAAGGCCUUCGGGUUGUAAAGCACUUUUUGCAGGAAAGAAACGUCAUGGGUUAAUACCCCGUGAAACUGACGGUACCUGCAGAAUAAGCACCGGCUAACUACGUGCCAGCAGCCGCGGUCAUACGUAGGGUGCAAGCGUUAAUCGGAAUUACUGGGCGUAAAGCGUGCGCAGGCGGUUCGGAAAGAAAGAUGUGAAAUCCCAGAGCUCAACUUUGGAACUGCAUUUUUAACUACCGGGCUAGAGUGUGUCAGAGGGAGGUGGAAUUCCGCGUGUAGCAGUGAAAUGCGUAGAUAUGCGGAGGAACACCGAUGGCGAAGGCAGCCUCCUGGAAUAACACUGACGCUCAGGCACGAAAGCGUGGGGAGCAAACAGG
RNAcentral lists this ribosomal RNA (429 nucleotides) under Acidobacteriota bacterium. RNAcentral describes it as "Acidobacteria bacterium partial 16S ribosomal RNA". It matches the Rfam family "Bacterial small subunit ribosomal RNA", at positions 355 to 776 of the family's 1533-position model. The record is from RNAcentral. Lineage: Bacteria; Pseudomonadati; Acidobacteriota.